Long non-coding RNA from Melospiza melodia melodia, 2495 nucleotides. RefSeq lists it as uncharacterized. The record is from RefSeq and is a predicted model, not a curated record. NCBI's taxonomy places the organism in Eukaryota, Metazoa, Chordata, Aves, Passeriformes, Passerellidae. The transcript has 4 exons.
GGGUCAGAUGGGAUAUGUGGAAUAAAUUCAUUCCUGUGAAAUUUUUGAGGCCCUGUCACAGAGUGCCCAGAGAGGUUGUGGCUUCUCCAUCCCUGGCAGUGCCCAAGGCCAGGUUGGACACUGGGGCUUGGAGCACCUGGGACAGUGGGAGGUGUCCCUGCCAUGGCAGGGGUGGCACUGGGUGGCUUUAAGGUCCCUUCCAACCCAAACCAUUCCAUGAUUUGAUGAUUCCAUGAGUUCAGCCCAGUGGUAGAAGUGAGGUUAGUGUGGUCACCAAGGUGAGCCCAAUGUGGUCACCAAGGUGAGCUCAAUGUGGUCACCAAGGUGAGCUCAAUGUGGCCACCAAGGUGAGGUUGUUGUGGCCACCAAGGUGAGGUUGUUGUGGUCACCAAGGUGAGCCCAAUGUGGUCACCAAGGUGAGGUUGUUGUGGCCACCAAGGUGAGCUCAGUGUGGUCACCAAGGUGAACUCAAUGUGGCCACCAAGGUGAGCCCAAUGUGGUCACCAAGGUGAGCUCAAUGUGGCCACCAAGGUGAGGUUGUUGUGGUCACCAAGGUGAGCUCAAUAUGGUCACCAAGCUGAGGUUGUUGUGGCCACCAAGCUGAGGUUGUUGUGGCCACCAAGGUGGGCCCAAUGUGGCCACCAAGGUGAGGUUGUUGUGGUCCCCACAUUGCCAGGCCUGUGGGACACCUCCUUUCUGCCCCAGCCCUUUCAGCCCCCAGGACUGAAACCCACCCACCCUGGAAGCUCAAAAACCAGGGAUUCACAGGAACAGGGAGCUGGAAACUCUGAGACCCUAAAUCAAACAUUUCUGUGCCUCUCCUUUGUCUCCACUCAUGCUAAAGGUGAGAAUUUGGCUCUCCCUGGUGUGAACAGGAUGAGGAAAUGCAGAACUGGCCACCACCACUUUUCGCCGUGUCCUUACUGACACUUUUCUGCAAUUUCUCAGUGUUUCCCAUGUUUUUAUUGCCAGCAACCAAAUUUUGGGGUCCAACCUCUCUGGGUAUGUCCAGCACUGCAAAGGAAAGGAAAAGCCAAGUUCGUUAUCCCUGGCAAUUAAUCUGUUUAAUUACUCACUGUGGGUUUCAGUGUAUUCACUCACCAGAAACCACACUUUACUCAAAUAUUUGGUUUUGUAGCCAUCACUAAGGAUGGCAAAGUUUUUCAAGGCUGUGAAAAUGCUCUCAUGUCUUUCCUCUUAUAUUUUAAGAGCACAUAACAGGCAGAAAAAAAGAUAUUUGGAUAAAACAUUUCCCUCAUGCCCAUCUCCAAAUUAGAGUGCAAAAAUAUCUAUUUUUAUAUGGCUAUAAUAUAUACAUUUAUAAAAUUUUAUCAUCCUGGGUGCUGUAUGGAAUCAGAAAAUUAGAAUUCUUGUGCUUCUGCUCUGGAGCUGCAGUAAGCAGAGUGCUUUAGGUACCUCACCCUCCCAAAAUUCAGCUCCUGGCUGUCCUUACUCUCAGCUUGGGUGCUCCUUUCGCAAGACACAGCUCAAACAUCUUCGACAUAAAUUUUGCUGGCUCUGAGGACAAAUAUUUCCCUCUCCAACGACAUUUAAAGUCAUUUAAGAGUUCCUGCUGGCUCCCAGGGCAUUGAGAGGAGCUGUAAUGCAGGGAGAAGAGGGUGCAGAGAGCAUCCCUGCUGGGAAGGGUUUGAUUUGUACAAAUUCUCCACCGGGAAUGGAGAGAAAUCCUCUCCUCCAAACAGCCUUUGCCAAAACGUCCCCAAUUUCCUGAGCUCUUCAAACAUUCGCUGCUGCUUCCUGGGUGCCCUUUUCCGUGGCUGUGGUUGAAAUUCAGGGAGGAGUGGAUGCGUUUUCUGUCCUCAGAGCAAAUCUCUGCCCUGUUUUCCUGCCUCGUUCCAUUUCCCGUUGGGUUUUUGUUCUCCUCACUGGGUCAGUCCCAACCACUGGGCUUUUUUCUCCUUGUCCUUCCAGGGUUGCAUCCCCACAGUUACUUGUAUUUAUGUCUGUAAAUAGAUUUCCAAAGCUUCCUAGCCAAAAUAUUUAGUGCUUGUAAUUACUCUGCAUUUUUCUGGUUUUUGGUUUUUUUUUUUUUUCUGUGUUUUUAAUGAACUUACCUUUGUGUUUGCUGAAAUACUGUAGUGAGACUUAUUUCUUUUCCAAAUUAGUUAUUUUUAGGCUUCAAGAGGAACUACAUUUUAUUCACUUUUGUAAACAGUUAUAGCAUGGUCUCUAUCCAACAUCCUUCACUUUUUUGUGGUAGGGGAGAAACAAACGUGCAAAAAAAAAAAAAAAAAUCUGUGGGUUAUUUGUGGUAUUUGGGGUUGGACAAUCCCGGCUCUUUUUAAAACCAAAAUUUCAGUGUGAGGUGGUGAGGCUGAGGGGGGACACAGCCCCAUCAGAGUGGCACCAAAGGGAAUUUGUUCAGCAUUUUCUGGCCAUGUUUACAAAACAUUUUCCCUUUCACACUGAACUUUUCCUGAAGGGGAAACCAUCAGCUUGGGGAUUUUUCAGAGGGAUUGAUUACCGGGGACUUU